CCUACUCCAUAGAGAGUGGCUGACCCUACAGCAGACGACUGCAACAAGAUAAGGGCUGGAUUACUGUGUUAUGACUUGGUUUAUGUUUCAAAUAUAGAGCAGGACUUGCAGAUUGAGAUCCCUGGACCAGGAGUGGGAAAUUCUUAAAGGAGCCAGGGGCACUGAACUUGGCAGCAUACCCCCACCCUAGGCAGCUCCCAGCUUCCUGGAAAGGACUGGAUAAAGAUGAAUAGGAGCUUUGCAUUGCAGGGAGGGGGUAAAGAACGGAGUGACAGCUGGGUAUGGGAUUAGGAGAGAAGCGGCUAUAGCUGGAGGGUGGGAUGCAGGGGGUAUAGCAGUUGGACAUGAGGGUGUGACUGAACCCGGGUAGGGAGAGGGGAUGUUCCUCCAGGCCCAGGAAGGAGGCUGGAAUUUGAGUAAAACAAAGAUGUAAUUGAGUGCUUGAGUCCAAUGUCUUCAACAAGUCAGGGACUGGAUCUGGAGACCCUAGGCCCCUGCUGGCAAGAGGUUGGCAUUCCUGGAACAGGACUAGACAAAAACAGGAAGCAUUCCUACUGCCACCCAGCACUGCCUGCUGUACUCAGCUCUACCGAAAGCCACUCUCAGACAAGCUACUGAGGAAGGUCAUCCAGGUGGAACUGCAGGAGGCUGACGGGGACUGUCACCUCCAGGCUUUCGUGCUUCACCUGGCUCAACGCAGCAUCUGCAUCCACCCCCAGAACCCCAGCCUGUCACAGUGGUUUGAGCACCAAGAGAGAAAGCUCCAUGGGACUCUGCCCAAGCUGAAUUUUGGGAUGCUAAGGAAAAUGGGCUGAAGCCCCCAAUAGCCAAAUAAUAAAGCAGCAUUGGAUAAUAAUUUCUGAGUAUAAUCUCCAAGAA
Molecule: long non-coding RNA, 879 nt
Filed under: Homo sapiens (human)
Lineage: Eukaryota; Metazoa; Chordata; Mammalia; Primates; Hominidae
Description: non-protein coding lnc-CCL27-1:4
Source: RNAcentral